This 474-nucleotide ribosomal RNA is filed under the name uncultured Syntrophorhabdus sp. RNAcentral describes it as "bacterial SSU rRNA". It matches the Rfam family "Bacterial small subunit ribosomal RNA", at positions 910 to 1382 of the family's 1533-position model. Lineage: Bacteria; Pseudomonadati; Thermodesulfobacteriota; Syntrophorhabdia; Syntrophorhabdales; Syntrophorhabdaceae. The record is from RNAcentral.
UUGACGGGGCCCGCACAAGCGGUGGAGCAUGUGGUUUAAUUCGACGCAACGCGAAAAACCUUACCUGGGUUUGACAUGCCGAGUACCCGAUGGAAACAUUGGGGUGCCCCGUAAGGGGAACUUGGACACGGGUGCUGCAUGGCUGUCGUCAGCUCGUGCCGUGAGGUGUUGGGUUAAGUCCCGCAACGAGCGCAACCCUCACCCUUAGUUGCCAUCAUUAAGUUGGGCACCCUAAGGGAACUGCCGCAGUUAAUGCGGAGGAAGGUGGGGAUGACGCCAAGUCCUCAUGGCCCUUAUAUCCAGGGCUACACACGUGCUACAAUGGACGGUACAAAGGGUCGCGAACCUGCAAAGGGGAGCUAACCCCAGAAAACCGCUCUCAGUUCGGAUUGGAGUCUGCAACCCGACUCCAUGAAGUUGGAAUCGCUAGUAAUCGCGGAUCAGAACGCCGCGGUGAAUACGUUCCCGGGCCUU